RNAcentral lists this ribosomal RNA (253 nucleotides) under uncultured bacterium. RNAcentral describes it as "partial 16S ribosomal RNA". It matches the Rfam family "Bacterial small subunit ribosomal RNA", at positions 524 to 776 of the family's 1533-position model. The record is from RNAcentral.
UACGUAGGGGGCAAGCGUUGUCCGGAUUUAUUGGGCGUAAAGAGCGUGUAGGCGGCCAAGCAGGUCAGCUGUGAAAACUCGAGGCUCAACCUCGAGACGCCGAUGGAAACCCUCAGACUAGAGUCCGGAAGAGGAGAGUGGAAUUCCUGGUGUAGCGGUGAAAUGCGCAGAUAUCAGGAAGAACACCCGUGGCUAAGGCGGCUCUCUAGUACGGUACUGACGCUGAGACGCGAAAGCGUGGGGAGCGAACAGG